RNAcentral lists this ribosomal RNA (894 nucleotides) under uncultured bacterium. Its description in RNAcentral is "bacterial SSU rRNA". It matches the Rfam family "Bacterial small subunit ribosomal RNA", at positions 13 to 916 of the family's 1533-position model. The record is from RNAcentral.
UUGAUCCUGGCUCAGGAUGAACGCUGGCGGCGUGCCUAAUACAUGCAAGUCGAACGAGGUGCUUUUGUAGCAAUACGAGAGUAUCCUAGUGGCGAACGGGUGAGUAACGCGUUGGUGACCUACCCCAAAGUGUGGGAUAACAGUCCGAAAGGAUUGCUAAUACCGCAUGUGGUCAUUGGCUUUAGAAACUGAUGACUAAAGGAGCAAUUCGCUUUGGGAGGGACCUGCGUCCCAUCAGCUAGUUGGUGAGGUAAUGGCUCACCAAGGCUACGACGGGUAGGGGACCUGAGAGGGUGACCCCCCACAAUGGAACUGAAACACGGUCCAUACACCUACGGGUGGCAGCAGUAGGGAAUAUUGCUCAAUGGGCGAAAGCCUGAAGCAGCAACGCCGCGUGCGUGAUGAAGGUCUUCGGAUCGUAAAGCGCUUUUCUGGGAGAUGAGAAAGGACAGUAUCCCAGGAAUAAGUCUCGGCUAACUACGUGCCAGCAGCCGCGGUAAAACGUAGGAGGCAAGCGUUAUCCGGAUUCACUGGGCGUAAAGCGCGUGCAGGUGGCGCGGUAAGUUGGGCGUGAAAUCUCCCGGCUCAACUGGGAGAGGUCGUUCAAUACUACCGUGCUAGAGAGCAGAAGAGGAAGAUGGAAUUCCCGGUGUAGUGGUGAAAUGCGUAGAUAUCGGGAGGAACACCAGUGGCGAAGGCGAUCUUCUGGUCUGUUUCUGACACUCAGACGCGACAGCUAGGGUAGUAAACGGGAUUAGAGACCCCGGUAAUCCUAGCCGUAAACGAUGUGAACUUGGCGUUGGUGGGUUAAACUCCAUCAGUGCCGUAGCAAACGCGAUAAGUUCACCGCCUGGGGACUACGGCCGCAAGGUUAAAACUCAAAGGAAUUGACGG